This 403-nucleotide ribosomal RNA is filed under the name Verrucomicrobiota bacterium. Its description in RNAcentral is "Verrucomicrobia bacterium partial 16S ribosomal RNA". It matches the Rfam family "Bacterial small subunit ribosomal RNA", at positions 355 to 776 of the family's 1533-position model. Lineage: Bacteria; Pseudomonadati; Verrucomicrobiota. The record is from RNAcentral.
UGGGGAAUAUUGCACAAUGGGGGAAACCCUGAUGCAGCGACGCCGCGUGAGCGAAGAAGGUUUUCGAAUCGUAAAGCUCUGUCCUAUGAGAAGAUAAUGACGGUAUCAUAGGAGGAAGCCCCGGCUAAACACGUGCCAGCAGCCGCGGUAAUACGUAUGGGGCGAGCGUUGUCCGGAAUUAUUGGGCGUAAAGGGUACGUAGGCGGUCUAUUAAGUCAGGUGUGAAAGCGUGAGGCUUAACCUCAUUAAGCACUUGAAACUGAUAGACUUGAGUGAAGGAGAGGAAAGUGGAAUUCCUAGUGUAGCGGUGAAAUGCGUAGAUAUUAGGAGGAAUACCGGUGGCGAAGGCGACUUUCUGGACUUUUACUGACGCUCAGGUACGAAAGCGUGGGGAGCAAACAGG